CAGGUCAUCUCCCUCCAGGGAGGAGUCAGUCGUGACAUGGACUACCUUAAUGGUCCCGGCCAUCGGGGAGUUGACCACGGUCUCCAUCUUCAUGGCUGAGAGGACACACAGCGGCUGACCCUUCUCCACCUUUAAUGGUGAUGAAGAUAAGUUCACAGAGCAUUAAAAACACCAGUUAGAUGUACAGAUCACUGAACAGGCACUGGAGUUGAAGGUUAACAAGUAAAGUACACUCCAAGAGCUGAAGUCGAUAUUUCACUUUGACAUGAAAUCCAAACACUUUGUAGCUUAUGAGAGUAAGAAGAUCAGUCAGUGUGUUUCACUACAUUUACAUGGACACCAAUAUUCUGAUAUCAACCUGAGACACUGUCAUGUAAACACCAUUUUCUGAUUACCUCAAUCUAAAUAUAAAUCAUAAAGUAAACAAGUAGUGGGACGUAAUGGUGACAUGAGUCAUAAUCAGACUGUGCUCUGUAACAUGUCAACAGGAAUAUGAAUGAGAUAUUCUAUUGCCAGCUGUCAAAUAAUCAAGAUAUUUCUGUCCAUGUAAACUGUCAGUGUGAAGAAUUAGUUCACACCAAAAACACUUUGCAAAUGUAAGUGUCAUUAUUUUGAAAUACAGGUCUCUGAGGUUUCUCCUCUCUCCCACCACAAUGGAGAUGAAUGUAUUUAAUUUAUGCUGCUCAUAGAAAAAUGACAGCGCCCCCAUAACUCUGGAUAAUGUAAAGACAUCAGAGGAGUUUCCAUAGGGGAAUUUUUACUACAAUGAGCCCCACAAAUGUAAUUUCAAUCAUGUCCUUGGUGCUAGAUCAUCAGAAUCUCAGUAUCAAACACUGCAGAGUACAUCUGUGAUCACAGUGUUUGAUUAAAGUCAUCAUUUUACCACCUUUAGACUUUUGGUGAGACAACAUUAGAAAUAUGGAGUUUCUUUGUUGAACUAUGAAAAGAUUGGAUCAUUAUUCAGCCAGGCAAAGACUUAAACUUCUUCUUCUUAGUAUUAUAGAAUUAGAUUAGGAGUAAUAAUGUUUUUUUAAAAGGCUCCACUGCAUUUGGCGAUUAGGCAGAAAUCUCAUGGACAGUGCUGGGUGGUGUUUAGGUCUGUUUUAGUUGCUGAUAAACAGAUUAGUUGGUUGGCUGAUGCCUGCACUUGCAAAGUACAUUUAUUUAAAGCCGUUUAGUUUUUUAAAUACAUUUUGGGAAGGAAAAAGUCUUGAUGUGUUGGACAUUUUAAGAGAGUGAAAAGCGAAAUGCCCUCAUUUAUGUUCCUUUAAGGGUCUCGUUCAUCAACAGUGUGGGAAAAGGUAGCUGGGUGUUAUAGCGAUUCAUUAGUCCCACACACAUAAAAACCGAGCAGACAGUUUCCUCAUUAAGCAGCAUUUCUGCUCUGCUUGCACAAAUGUAGCCCCUUGAGAAUGAGGCUGUGAUGAGCGCGACUGUACCUGUGAACUCUUAACAGCUCAACACGUGUUCAAUUGACUCUUGAGACGGCGAGAGUGGCUGACGUCUCAGCUCUUUUUGUUGGUCUCUUGACAUACUGACCACUGCUGAUUGGCUGUUUGGUGUUUCCUCCUGCCAGGGUCCUGGGAGUCUGAGGGGGGGCAGUGUCUGUUCCAAGGACUGCACUCUUCUGGACAGAGAUCUGCUGGUGCCAGUCUCCCAGUUUGGGGAUUACCGCCUCCAGUAUAUCCCCUAUCACUGGGUUGCUUGUGUAAUAGCAUGUUGAAAUCAGCCACUGUCCCCACCUCUAAAGUCCCAAAAGUCAAAUGAACGAGCGAGCAAGAGUUGAGGUGUUGAGAGAGUCCAGCUCGCACUCACUGCAGCCCCGUGCUUGUGGAACCACAUUUGUGCUCGAGUCUUGAGACCAUGGCUAUGAGGGAGGUGCAGCUCUCUAACCAAUGCUGCUUGAUUUAGCAGCAUUUCCCACUCAGGGAGAAAGCAGUGGUUGAAUCGUUGUAUGUAGUUGCAUCUAUCAUGAUCAGAUUUUUAAUAAGAUUCAUUGUCUAGCACAAAGUGUUUGGCCUUGGCAGAGGUAUGGACUCCACUGACUGCCAUGUUAAUGUUUAACUGAACUGACCCUUUAACCCAACAUAAUCAAAUGUGAUGAAAAAUGAAUUAUUGAAAAAGAUGAGGCUAACAAUAAACUGACCUUGGAUCCGACCUCCACUUUGACCUCCAGGACUUUUCCAGGCAUGGGUGCUCCCACUUGACCCUUGAUAGAUUUCUGGGCCUUGGGAUGGAACUUCAUUUCCUGGGUGGAGGGACAAAGAUUUCAUGCAGUCAUGUGUCCAUUCAAUCAAUUCAUUUACUCUGUCUUCCUCCAUUUAUUCACUUAUCCAACCAACAAUCCUCCUCCCUCUAGCCAUCUAUGUAUUUAGCUGCACUGACAUCUAUCUGUCAUCCAUAAUUUAUCUAUCUACCAACCCAUGCUUCUCUUCUUACGUCAACACCUCCCUCUAUGUAUCAACCCACUGACUAUCCCUGUAUCAUGUCCCACGGUCCCUCCCCUCUGUACCUUCAUGGCGAGGGUGUCUUUAACCAGCACAGAUCUCAGCUGUCCGUUCAGCUCAAAGAAGACCUCUCUCUGACCGGCCUUGUUCAGGUCACCCAGUGCCAGCGCCUUGAUGUGGAGGAUCUUCCCUCUCUCCAGCUCCACCUGAGGUAAAUCAAAGCCAGAGAGUGGAGGAGGAAGGGAACAGGAGGGGGAGGACAGAGGAGAGAAAAUGGAAGGAGAGGAAGAGUGUGAAGGAGGAAGGGACAGAAUUUAUAUUAGACUUUUGAGUAAUCCCCAGGAUGCACUCUGUUGAAGGGUAGGAAACCAUCCAGGUUGUCAUUCCACGAGAAGGGACUUUUUUAACCUCACUUCAUUUAAAUGGACAAAUAAAUGAAUAAUGUUGCAAUGUA
Molecule: long non-coding RNA, 2901 nt
Organism: Hippoglossus stenolepis (Pacific halibut)
Lineage: Eukaryota; Metazoa; Chordata; Actinopteri; Pleuronectiformes; Pleuronectidae
Exons: 2
Source: RefSeq, a predicted model, not a curated record